RNAcentral lists this ribosomal RNA (497 nucleotides) under uncultured bacterium. RNAcentral's name for it is "partial 16S ribosomal RNA". It matches the Rfam family "Bacterial small subunit ribosomal RNA", at positions 28 to 507 of the family's 1533-position model. The record is from RNAcentral.
GAUGAACGCUGGCGGCGUGCCUAAUACAUGCAAGUCGAGCGAACGGACGAGAAGCUUGCUUCUCUGAUGUUAGCGGCGGACGGGUGAGUAACACGUGGAUAACCUACCUAUAAGACUGGGAUAACUUCGGGAAACCGGAGCUAAUCCCGGAUAAUAUUUUGAACCGCAUGGUUCAAAAGUGAAAGACGGUCUUGCUGUCACUUAUAGAUGGAUCCGCGCUGCAUUAGCUAGUUGGUAAGGUAACGGCUUACCAAGGCAACGAUGCAUAGCCGACCUGAGAGGGUGGUCGCCCACCCGGGAACGGAGACACGGACCAGACGCCUACGGGAGGCAGCAGAAGGGAAUCUUCCGCAAUGGGCGAAAACCUGACGGAGCAACGCCGCGUGAGUUAUGAAGGUCUCCGGAUCGUAAAACUCUGUUAUUAGGGAAGAACAUAUGUGUAAGUAACUGUGCACAUCCUGACGGUACCGAAUCAGAAAGCCACGGCUAACUACGUG